Molecule: transfer RNA, 72 nt
Filed under: Marmota monax (woodchuck)
Lineage: Eukaryota; Metazoa; Chordata; Mammalia; Rodentia; Sciuridae
Rfam family: tRNA
About the family: Transfer RNA (tRNA) molecules are approximately 80 nucleotides in length.
Source: Rfam by way of RNAcentral
UGGGGUGUGGCCCAGUGGUCGACGGCUUGCCUUGCACGCAUGAGGCCCUGGGUUCCAUCCUCAGCACCACAU